UUUCCGUAGGUGAACCUGCGGAAGGAUCAUUAUUGGAUUUUGAAACUUCAGGCUGCUGCUGGCUCUCCUCGGAGGGCAUGUGCACGCUUGUUGUCCAUUAUUUCUCCCACUGUGCACAAAUUGUAGACCUUUCAGUAGGCCUAUGUUGUUUUUCACAAUCUCUGAAUGUAAUAGAAUGGUUUUGAAUCUGGGAAAUACAAUACAACUUUCAGCAACGGAUCCCUUGGCUCUCACAUCGAUGAAGAACGCAGC
This 252-nucleotide unclassified non-coding RNA is filed under the name plant metagenome. RNAcentral describes it as "partial contains small subunit ribosomal RNA, internal transcribed spacer 1, and 5.8S ribosomal RNA". The stretch from base 204 to 252 matches the Rfam family "5.8S ribosomal RNA", at positions 1 to 49 of the family's 154-position model. The record is from RNAcentral.